CGAAGGACCCGAGCAUUAUCCGGAUUUAUUGGGUUUAAAGGGUGCGUAGGCGUCCUGGAAAGUUACGGUUGAAAUCUCCUUGCUCAACAAGGAAACUGGCCGUAAAACUAUCAGGAUUGAGUACAUUUGAAGCGGGCGGAAUGUGUCAUGUAGCGGUGAAAUGCUUAGAUAUGACACAGAACACCAAUUGCGAAGGCAGCUCGCUAAACUGUAACUGACGCUGAGGCACGAGAGCGUGGGGAUCAAACAGGAUUAGAUACCCUGGUAGUCCACGCCCUAAACGAUGAUUACUCGAUGUGUGCGAUACACUGUACGCGUCUGAGCGAAAGCAUUAAGUAAUCCACCUGGGGAGUACGAUCGCAAGAUUG
Molecule: ribosomal RNA, 368 nt
Filed under: uncultured organism
Description: bacterial SSU rRNA
Rfam family: Bacterial small subunit ribosomal RNA
Source: RNAcentral